Molecule: ribosomal RNA, 1652 nt
Filed under: Tethyid sp. UCMPWC1062
Lineage: Eukaryota; Metazoa; Porifera; Demospongiae; Tethyida; Tethyidae
Description: eukaryotic LSU rRNA
Rfam family: Eukaryotic large subunit ribosomal RNA
Source: RNAcentral
AAAAAGACCGCAAAACCGUUAGGAGGGAAGCGAAUGCAGCUGAAGUAGUUCUCUUCCAGGCUCAGGAGGCGUCGUCUCGUUCUGCUGGCUGGCGGAAACCGUUAGGUGUCGGCAGUCGGACGGGCGGGCGACCAAUCUGCACUCCUGGAGAGAGCUGGCCAACGACAGUUGUCUCUGGCUCACAAGGGCGGUUGGGUAGGUAGCUCCUCCCUCCASAGGAGAACUAAUUGCCAGCCGUCUGGCAGACUGGAUGCGACUGAGGAGAGUUGCGAACUUUCGCACGUGCAGUGUAGGCCCUUUUGGGCCGGGGCACCUCUAUCCGCUUGGGCACCGCUCUGGGGACUGCUUGCAGUGUCCAGUGACGAAUGUCUGCUCGGUUGGGGGGAAGUCCACUCCUUGCACUGCAGUCGUUGGUGUCCAAAUGGCUGCAUCCGACCCGUCUUGAAACACGGACCAAGGAGUGCAACAUGCGUGCGAGUCUUGGGGUGGCAAACCCAUCGGCGCAAUGAAGGUGAAGGCAGAUGUUGGUCUGCUCAGGCAGGAGCCUCCUCCCGGGGGGCACACUGUCGACCGAUCCCAGGCUACGCUGUGGCGGGAUUUGAGUAAGAGCGUGCCUGUUGCGACCCGAAAGAUGGUGAACUAUGCCUGAAUAGGGUGAAGCCAGAGGAAACUCUGGUGGAAGCUCGUAGCGAUUCUGACGUGCAAAUCGAUCGUCAAAUUUGGGUAUAGGGGCGAAAGACUAAUCGAACCAUCUAGUAGCUGGUUCCCUCCGAAGUUUCCCUUAGGAUAGCUGGAGCCCGGUGCAGUUUUAUCAGGUAAAGCGAAUGAUUAGAGGUCUUGGGGUUGAAACAACCUCAACCUAUUCUCAAACUUUAAAUGGGUAAGAAGCUCGGCUUGCUCAACUGAAGUCGGGCACUGAAUGCUGGGGCUCUUAGUGGGCCAUUUUUGGUAAGCAGAACUGGCGAUGUGGGAUGAACCAAAUGCUGGGUUAAGGUGCCCGAAUCGACGCUCAUCAGAUACCAUGAAAGGUGUUGGUUGAUCUAGACAGCAGGACGGUGGCCAUGGAAGUCGGAAUCCGCUAAGGAGUGUGUAACAACUCACCUGCCGAAUCAACUAGCCCUGAAAAUGGAUGGCGCUGAAGCGUCGUACCCAUACCCAGCCGUCAGGCUGAGUGGCCGAACCUGACGUGUAGGAGGGCGCAGUGGUGGCCGUGCAGCCUCUGGCGCGAGCCUGGGUGAAGCCGCCACUGGUGCAGAUCUUGGUGGUAGUAGCAAAUAUUCAAACGAGAGCUUUGAAGACUGAAGUGGAGAAGGGUUCCAUGUGAACAGCAGUUGGACAUGGGUUAGUCGAUCCUAAGAGAAGGAGAGGUCCUUUNAGAAGGCGCAAUUCGCCCCGGCGACCGCGCUGUUCCUCGAAAGGGAAUCGGGUUAACAUUCCCGAACCAGGAUGCGGAUAGGCCCUCGGGCCGUCAGCGGCAACGCAAGCGAACUCGGAGACGUCGGCAGGAGCCCCGGGAAGAGUUCUCUUUUCUUCUUAACGGACUGGCACCCUGGAAUCAGAUUGUCUGGAGAUAGGGUUGAAUGUCCGGUAAAGCACCACACUUGUGGUGGUGUCCGGUGCGCUCUUGACGGCCCGUGAAAAUCCGAGGGAGC